Molecule: ribosomal RNA, 229 nt
Filed under: uncultured bacterium
Lineage: Bacteria
Description: partial 16S ribosomal RNA
Rfam family: Bacterial small subunit ribosomal RNA
Source: RNAcentral
UGUGUAGGCGGAAUGGUAAGCGUCUUGUGAAAGCCCCCGGCUUAACCGGGGAAUUGCUUGACGAACUGUCAUUCUUGAGGCAAGUAGGGGUGCACGGAACUCUUGGUGGAGCGGUGGAAUGCGUAGAUAUCAAGAGGAACGCCGGUGGUGAAGACGGUGCACUGGGCUUGUCCUGACGCUGAGACACGAAAGCGUGGGGAGCGAACAGGAUUAGAUACCCUGGUAGUCC